AUGGCAUGGAAAACAAUUUUGUUCCAUGCUCCAUGGCAUCAGAUGGCAUGGAAAACAAUUCAUGUUCUACAGUGCCGUGUUCAACUUGCUCAUCCUCUGAUGAUGACAUCUCUUUUAAUACAUUAUUCACCUCAGGAGCUGCAUGUAAAAUUUAAAAUCAAUAUGGUUUUCUUAUUAAUGUUAAAUCAGCAAAGCUAUCAGCAUGGAACAAAUAAAAAAGGACUGUGGAUGACAAGAAAUCGCUUCUAUUUAGUUAAGAGGUCCAUUUCAUGCUAUCAAGGACACUUCCAGUUUUUCUUUAGUUUCAUCAAAGGUUCAUCAAUACAGAUGCUAAAAUCUAGCAUAUCACAUGGGAUGGAUCAGCUAAAGUAA
Molecule: ribosomal RNA, 372 nt
Filed under: Triticum aestivum (bread wheat)
Lineage: Eukaryota; Viridiplantae; Streptophyta; Magnoliopsida; Poales; Poaceae
Description: partial small subunit ribosomal RNA
Source: RNAcentral